This 216-nucleotide ribosomal RNA is filed under the name uncultured bacterium. Its description in RNAcentral is "partial 16S ribosomal RNA". It matches the Rfam family "Bacterial small subunit ribosomal RNA", at positions 122 to 334 of the family's 1533-position model. The record is from RNAcentral.
UAACCUGCCUGGUAGCGGGGGAUAACUAUUGAAACGAUAGCUAAUACCGCAUAACAACAGUUGUUGCAUGACAGCUGUUUAAAAGAUGCAAUUGCAUCACUACCAGAUGGACCUGCGUUGUAUUAGCUAGUUGGUGAGGUAACGGCUCACCAAGGCAACGAUACAUAGCCGACCUGAGAGGGUGAUCGGCCACACUGGGACUGAGACACGGCCCAG